This 2005-nucleotide ribosomal RNA is filed under the name Darbyshirella terrestris. RNAcentral describes it as "SSU rRNA". It matches the Rfam family "Eukaryotic small subunit ribosomal RNA". Lineage: Eukaryota; Evosea; Variosea. The record is from RNAcentral.
AUGUCUAAGUAUAAGUGUUUGUACAGCGAAACUGCGAAUGGCUCAUUAAAUCAGUUAUAGUUUAUUUGAUUGUACCUUUUUACUAUUUGGAUAACCGUAGUAAUUCUAGAGCUAAUACAUGUUAAUUACCCCAACUUUUCGGAAGGGGUGCAUUUAUUAGAUAAAAAAAAAACCGAUGUGAUUGUUCCUUAGGGGGUAGUUGCCUAUUGGUGAUUCAUGAUAACUUUGCGAAUCGCAUAGCUUCGGCUGGCGAUGCAUCAUUCAAAUUUCUGCCCUAUCAACUUUCGAUGGUAGUGUAGUGGACUACCAUGGUUAUAACGGGUAACGGAGGAUUAGGGUUCGAUUCCGGAGAGGGUGCCUGAGAAAUGGCAACCACUUCCAAGGAAGGCAGCAGGCGCGCAAAUUACCCAAUCGCAAUACGCGGAGGUAGUGACAAUAAAUAACAAUACAGGUCCCGACAAGGGACUUGUAAUUGGAAUGAGUACAAUUUAAACCCCUUAACAAGGAACAAUUGGAGGACAAGUCUGGUGCCAGCACCCGCGGUAAUUCCAGCUCCAAUAGCGUAUAUUAAAGUUGUUGCAGUUAAAAAGCUCGUAGUUGGAUUUUGGGAGUUCAUGGAUGUCGGGUGGAGUUUUUGGGAAGGUUUGGUUUCGAUCAGAUCUUAACUGGAUUUCAUUUGCUCUAUGUCCAGUGGAUUCAAGUUGAGAAGUGGGCGACCAUUUUUCAACUCCAUUGGAAUGAGAACCGGUCUAUUUGGAGUUUUUUUCGAUUCCAAGUGUGCACUGUUUUCAGGCUUCUUUUUUUGGGUCAGUCCAUUUCUGCUUUUAAGUAAGUGGAAGUGAAGGCUCCCAAUCGUUUACUUUGAAAAAAUUAGAGUGUUUAAAGCAGGCAUUUAAUGCCUUGAAUACAUUAGCAUGGGAUAACGGAACACGGCAGGGGGCUCGUUUCGUUGGUUUUAAAAAAAAGGAGGGGGAAUUUACUUCUCUCUCUUUUUGAGCCUCAUGUAAUGAUUAAUAGAGAUAGUUGGGGACAUUUAUAUUCCAUGGCUAGAGGUGAAAUUCUUGGAUUCAUGGAAGAUAAACUAGUGCGAAAGCAUCUGUCAAGGAUGUUUUCAUUAAUCAAGAACGAAAGUUAGGGGAUCGAAGACGAUCAGAUACCGUCGUAGUCUUAACUAUAAACUAUGCCGACCAGGGAUUGGGAGACGUUACGUGGAUGACUCCCCCAGCACCUUGUGAGAAAUCACGAGUCUUUGGGUUCCGGGGGGAGUAUGGUCGCAAGGCUGAAACUUAAAGGAAUUGACGGAAGGGCACCACCAGGAGUGGAGCCUGCGGCUUAAUUUGACUCAACACGGGGAAACUCACCAGGUCCAGACAUAGUAAGGAUUGACAGAUUGAUAGCUCUUUCUUGAUUCUAUGGGUGGUGGUGCAUGGUCGUUCUUAGUUGGUGGAGUGAUUUGUCUGGUUAAUUCCGAUAACGAACGAGACCUCAGCCUGCUAAAUAGUAAAGUGAAUCUUCUAAAUGGGUGAAGUUGGGGAGUAUUGAGGUGGCCCUUUGUGGUCAUUUCGCCUUGAUGGAUCCUUGAAGAAUUUGCUUUUUCUUUAUUAAACAAAUGAAAUUUUUUACUUCUUAGAGGGACAAUUCAUAUCGUAGUGAAUGGAAGUUUGAGGCAAUAACAGGUCUGUGAUGCCCUUAGAUGUUCUGGGCUGCACGCGCGCUACAAUGACUAGUUCAACGAGUUUUUUUGCCUUGGUCGAAUGGCCUGGGUAAUCUUUCAAAACUAGUCGUGCUGGGGAUAGACUAUUGUAAUUAUUAGUCUUCAACGAGGAAUUCCUAGUAAGUGCAGGUCAUCAACCUGCGCUGAUUACGUCCCUGCCCUUUGUACACACCGCCCGUCGCUCCUACCGAUUGAACGAUCCGGUGAAACCUCGGGAUUGAGAGAUAUGCCUUGGGGCAACUCAGGUGCGAUCUUUUAAGAACUUGUUUAAACCUUAUCGUUUAGAGGAAG